GUACACGAAGUAUUUUAAGUACCCUUUAGUUACAUUAAAGUAGUCUCAUUCUCUGAGCGUGUAUA
This 65-nucleotide transfer RNA is filed under the name Myosotella myosotis (mouse ear snail). Its description in RNAcentral is "tRNA-Val". The record is from RNAcentral. Lineage: Eukaryota; Metazoa; Mollusca; Gastropoda; Ellobiida; Ellobiidae.